CCCUUUUCAAUUCUAGCAUAUAUGCAUAUUGUUCAGGAUAAAUAUAAUCGUAAGGGAAAUAAACAAGUAGCCCGUCGACAGUCAACCUGAAAUAAAAUUUUAUUUACACCGUAUCGGCAAAACUAAUAUUAAUUUAUAACCGAAAGUUUUGUUUGCCUCAACUUGUAUGACAUAUGACAAGAUUGACAAGUUUAAAUUAAAUUCAAACUUCAACUUUUUAAGUUUCGUUGCGCACAGACGCUGGCUUACAAUUAUUUUGUCAAUAAAACAGCCAAUACAAA
Molecule: long non-coding RNA, 281 nt
Organism: Nymphalis io (European peacock)
Lineage: Eukaryota; Metazoa; Arthropoda; Insecta; Lepidoptera; Nymphalidae
Exons: 2
Source: RefSeq, a predicted model, not a curated record